GGGGCUACAGCUCAGAGGCAGAGCAUCUUCUUUGCAUGCAGAAGGUCCCAGGAUUGAUCCCCAGUAUCUCCA
This is a non-coding RNA of Podarcis lilfordi (Lilford's wall lizard), 72 nucleotides long. NCBI's taxonomy places the organism in Eukaryota, Metazoa, Chordata, Lepidosauria, Squamata, Lacertidae. The record is from the annotation of a GenBank genome assembly.